Molecule: non-coding RNA, 214 nt
Filed under: Peptacetobacter hiranonis
Lineage: Bacteria; Bacillati; Bacillota; Clostridia; Peptostreptococcales; Peptostreptococcaceae
Description: Clostridium hiranonis T-box sequence
Rfam family: T-box leader
About the family: Uncharged tRNA acts as the effector for transcription antitermination of genes in the T-box leader family. T-boxes are found upstream of many aminoacyl-tRNA synthetase genes and some amino acid biosynthetic genes usually in Gram-positive bacteria.
Source: RNAcentral
GAGUAAUCGUUGAAAAAGAAAGUAGCUCAGAAUGAUUUUAUAGAGAGCAGGGGAUGGUGGAAGCCUUGCAUUGAUAUCUGAAGUGAAGAGAGCUUUGGAGAUUGUUGUGAAAGUCUUAAAGAUAUAAGCAACAGGUAAUCCUGCCUUAAAGGAAAGAGUGGAUAGUAUUAACUAUCAAUUAGAGUGGUAACGCGGAUUAUAUUUCGUCUCUUGG